CCUGCUUCACACGCAGGAGGUCGGCGGUUCGAGCCCGCCAGUCCCCACCA
Molecule: transfer RNA, 50 nt
Filed under: Oscillospiraceae bacterium
Lineage: Bacteria; Bacillati; Bacillota; Clostridia; Eubacteriales; Oscillospiraceae
Description: tRNA-Ser
Rfam family: tRNA
About the family: Transfer RNA (tRNA) molecules are approximately 80 nucleotides in length. Their secondary structure includes four short double-helical elements and three loops (D, anti-codon, and T loops).
Source: RNAcentral